CUAGCCCUAAACGUUGCUCGCUCGCUUUACGGAGUAUCGACCCUCUGUGAGGCUAAGCUAACGCGGUAAGCGAGCCGCCUGGGUAGUACGAUCGCAAGAUUAAAACUCAAAGGAAUAGACGGGGACUUGCACAAGCGGUGGAUCAUGUGGCUUAAUUCGUCGAUAAGCGAAGAACCUUACCCGGGCUAGAAAUCAAGCUGCAUACUUUUCGAAAGAUUAGUAGCCUUAGAGGGUGCUUGACAGGUGA
This 247-nucleotide ribosomal RNA is filed under the name uncultured bacterium. RNAcentral's name for it is "partial 16S ribosomal RNA". It matches the Rfam family "Bacterial small subunit ribosomal RNA", at positions 796 to 1041 of the family's 1533-position model. The record is from RNAcentral.